RNAcentral lists this transfer RNA (85 nucleotides) under Felis catus (domestic cat). It matches the Rfam family "tRNA". From Rfam's summary of the family: Transfer RNA (tRNA) molecules are approximately 80 nucleotides in length. Their secondary structure includes four short double-helical elements and three loops (D, anti-codon, and T loops). Further hydrogen bonds mediate the characteristic L-shaped molecular structure. tRNAs have two regions of fundamental functional importance: the anti-codon, which is responsible for specific mRNA codon recognition, and the 3' end, to which the tRNAs corresponding amino acid is attached (by aminoacyl-tRNA synthetases). tRNAs cope with the degeneracy of the genetic code in two manners: having more than one tRNA (with a specific anti-codon) for a particular amino acid; and 'wobble' base-pairing, i.e. permitting non-standard base-pairing at the 3rd anti-codon position. The record is from Rfam by way of RNAcentral. Lineage: Eukaryota; Metazoa; Chordata; Mammalia; Carnivora; Felidae.
GCCUGGGUGGCUCAGUUGGUUGAGCGUCCGACUUCAGCUCAGGUCAUGAUCUCACAGUUUGUGGGUUCAAACCCCACAUCAGGCU